UUUUUGGAGAGUUUGAUCCUGGCUCAGGACGAACGCUGGCGGCGUGCCUAAUACAUGCAAGUCGAGCGGACC
This 72-nucleotide ribosomal RNA is filed under the name Parageobacillus toebii NBRC 107807. RNAcentral describes it as "partial 16S ribosomal RNA". It matches the Rfam family "Bacterial small subunit ribosomal RNA", at positions 1 to 72 of the family's 1533-position model. Lineage: Bacteria; Bacillati; Bacillota; Bacilli; Caryophanales; Anoxybacillaceae. The record is from RNAcentral.